This 275-nucleotide ribosomal RNA is filed under the name uncultured Pseudomonas sp. Its description in RNAcentral is "partial 16S ribosomal RNA". It matches the Rfam family "Bacterial small subunit ribosomal RNA", at positions 1107 to 1382 of the family's 1533-position model. The record is from RNAcentral. Lineage: Bacteria; Pseudomonadati; Pseudomonadota; Gammaproteobacteria; Pseudomonadales; Pseudomonadaceae.
GUCCUAGUUACCAGCACGUACGGUGGGCACUCUAAGGAGACUGCCGGUGGACAAACCGGAGGAAGGUGGGGAUGACGUCAAGUCAUCAUGGCCCUUACGGCCUGGGCUACACACGUGCUACAAUGGUCGGUACAAAGGGUUGCCAAGCCGCGAGGUGGAGCUAAUCCCAUAAAACCGAUCGUAGUCCGGAUCGCAGUCUGCAACUCGACUGCGUGAAGUCGGAAUCGCUAGUAAUCGUGAAUCAGAAUGUCACGGUGAAUACGUUCCCGGGCCUU